This 253-nucleotide ribosomal RNA is filed under the name uncultured bacterium. RNAcentral's name for it is "partial 16S ribosomal RNA". It matches the Rfam family "Bacterial small subunit ribosomal RNA", at positions 524 to 776 of the family's 1533-position model. The record is from RNAcentral.
UACGAAGGGAGCUAGCGUUGUUCGGAAUUACUGGGCGUAAAGGGCGCGUAGGCGGCUUGGCAAGUUGGAUGUGAAAGCCCAGGGCUCAACCCUGGAAUUGCAUUCAAGACUGCUUUGCUUGAAUUCGGUAGAGGUUGGUGGAAUUCCCAGUGUAGAGGUGAAAUUCGUAGAGAUUGGGAAGAACACCCGUGGCGAAGGCGGCCAACUGGACCGACAUUGACGCUGAGGCGCGAAAGCGUGGGGAUCAAACAGG